RNAcentral lists this ribosomal RNA (358 nucleotides) under uncultured bacterium. Its description in RNAcentral is "partial 16S ribosomal RNA". It matches the Rfam family "Bacterial small subunit ribosomal RNA", at positions 338 to 707 of the family's 1533-position model. The record is from RNAcentral.
CCUACGGGUGGCAGCAGUCGAGAAUCAUUCACAAUGGGGGAAACCCUGAUGGUGCGACGCCGCGUGGGGGAAUGAAGGUCUUCGGAUUGUAAACCCCUGUCAUGUGGGAGCAAAUUAAAAAGAUAGUACCACAAGAGGAAGAGACGGCUAACUCUGUGCCAGCAGCCGCGGUAAUACAGAGGUCUCAAGCGUUGUUCGGAAUCACUGGGCGUAAAGCGUGCGUAGGCUGUUUCGUAAGUCGUGUGUGAAAGGCGCGGGCUCAACCAGAGAAUGGCAGUUGAUACUGCGAGACUAGAGUAGUGUUGAGGCAGGCGGAAUGCGGGGGGGAGCGGUGAAAUGCUUAGAUAGCGCGCAGAAC